This 497-nucleotide ribosomal RNA is filed under the name uncultured bacterium. RNAcentral's name for it is "partial 16S ribosomal RNA". It matches the Rfam family "Bacterial small subunit ribosomal RNA", at positions 28 to 507 of the family's 1533-position model. The record is from RNAcentral.
GAUGAACGCUGGCGGCGUGCCUAAUACAUGCAAGUCGAGCGAACUGACGAGAAGCUUGCUUCUCUGAUGUUAGCGGCGGACGGGUGAGUAACACGUGGAUAACCUACCUAUAAGACUGGGAUAACUUCGGGAAACCGGAGCUAAUACCGGAUAAUAUUUUGAACCGCAUGGUUCAAAAGUGAAAGACGGUCUUGCUGUCACUUAUAGAUGGAUCCGCGCUGCAUUAGCUAGUUGGUAAGGUAACGGCUUACCAAGGCAACGAUGCAUAGCCGACCUGAGAGGGUGAUCGGCCACACGGGAACUGAGACACGGUCCAGACUCCUACGGGAGGCAGCAGUAGGGAAUCUUCCGCAAUGGGCGAAAGCCGGACGGAGCAACGCCGCGUGAGUGAUGAAGGUCUUCGGAUCGUAAAACUCUGUUAUUAGGGAAGAACAUAUGUGUAAGUAACUGUGCACAUCUUGACGGUACCUAAUCAGAAAGCCACGGCUAACUACGUG